This 194-nucleotide non-coding RNA is filed under the name Kandleria vitulina. Its description in RNAcentral is "T-box sequence". It matches the Rfam family "T-box leader". Rfam says of the family: Uncharged tRNA acts as the effector for transcription antitermination of genes in the T-box leader family. T-boxes are found upstream of many aminoacyl-tRNA synthetase genes and some amino acid biosynthetic genes usually in Gram-positive bacteria. The anticodon of a specific tRNA base pairs to a specifier sequence within the T-box motif, and the NCCA acceptor tail of the tRNA base pairs to a conserved bulge in the T-box antiterminator hairpin. Lineage: Bacteria; Bacillati; Bacillota; Erysipelotrichia; Erysipelotrichales; Coprobacillaceae. The record is from RNAcentral.
GUUAAAUCGUAGAAGAAGAAGAGUACCUUAUAGAAGUGGCAAGAGAGGAAACGGAUGGUGCAAGUUUCUCAUGACUAUGGGGGAAGCUACUUUGGAGAGUGAUGUAAACAUCAACGUGAGCCUGCGUUAAGGGUAUAAAGAGCAAGGCGUAAGCCUUGAAUAAGGAUGGUACCGCGAUUAUAGUCGUUCCUUUU